AAGUCGUAACAAGGUUUCCGUAGGUGAACCUGCGGAAGGAUCAUUGACAAAUCUAAACAAACACGCACCUGUGAAUCAGCUGGUAGUCACCUACCCCUUUAGGGGUGGUGACUAUUAGUUAGUGGGUGAGAGUAACCUCUCUCCCCCCACCACAUUUACGCAAUUGUCUUACACACAACAAACACACACAACUUUUAGCAAUGGAUCUCUUGGCUUCUGUAACGAUGAA
This 229-nucleotide unclassified non-coding RNA is filed under the name fungal sp. RNAcentral's name for it is "partial internal transcribed spacer region". The stretch from base 1 to 46 matches the Rfam family "Eukaryotic small subunit ribosomal RNA", at positions 1786 to 1831 of the family's 1831-position model. The record is from RNAcentral. Lineage: Eukaryota; Fungi.